Long non-coding RNA from Episyrphus balteatus (marmalade hoverfly), 887 nucleotides. RefSeq lists it as uncharacterized. The record is from RefSeq and is a predicted model, not a curated record. The transcript has 2 exons. Lineage: Eukaryota; Metazoa; Arthropoda; Insecta; Diptera; Syrphidae.
UUGCAAAUAAAAUCUAAAAAAAAAAAAAAUUAAGAAUUUGGGAGCCAUAGAGCUCAUUUAGAAUUCAUGUCACAAUUCCAUCAGCAUGAUGACGAUGACGAAAUUCAACCAAAAUUCAGCCAAAAUUCAACGAGACUUAUAUGCAGCCCAAAAAGCCGAAGAGCCUCUCGAUUCAGACCAUAAUGACCAUAAGGCGAUAAUUUCAGACUGAAGCGCAGAUGAAGAUCGGGAAUUUUCACUUCUGGAAUUAUUUUUGCAGAUCGAUGCGAUGAUGGGCAAUCGAUCGAUAAAAGAUGGGACAAGGUUUGGAAGGAGGAAAGGACGGAAGGACAUACUGGUGAAUGGUGGUGCUGGUUUGAGGCUGAGGUAGAGUGACGAUGAAGACGACCAAACGCAUGGAGCAAAGCAUGGUCGCCAUGUUUCUUCUUUUGCUACUGUUUGCUUGGGUUUUACCAGGUUCAAUCAAAUUUUACCGCUCGCUCGCACCAACUGCUAAAAACUGCGACUUGAAAGACGACUCUGAGAUCGCUUAAGCUCUAUACUCUGCUUCUUGAAUAACUUAGAAUAUAUGCGUAUAGUUUUUUUUUUUGUCUGUGUGUGCUGAGAGAUGAAACUGAUGUAAGCCACAGCAAAAGAAAGAAAGAUGCCAGUUAAAUAUCUUUGUUUGAGUUUUAUAUGAAAGCCAACAUCAAAUAAUGCCAUACUUUGGAUUCCAAUUGAUAUCUCAUUUGAAGGUAUCUCUUUUGGAGCUGCUAUACCAAAACCAACAUAGAGAGUCGCUGAUGUUGUUGGUAAUAUAUAAAUGUGAUGUUGCGAUGAUGUCCUUUUUGUCUUUACCGAAAUGGAUUUCUCUGUUUUUAAGGCAAAGCAACAUGAAAUUUUUGAGA